Long non-coding RNA from Cucumis melo (muskmelon), 486 nucleotides. RefSeq lists it as uncharacterized. The record is from RefSeq and is a predicted model, not a curated record. The transcript has 3 exons. Lineage: Eukaryota; Viridiplantae; Streptophyta; Magnoliopsida; Cucurbitales; Cucurbitaceae.
AUAUAUCCUAAAAGGAAAAGGAAAAGGAAAUAAUAAUUAUUAUUAUUAUUGUUAUUAUGUGAGUCUAUAAAUAGCAUUAGAAUGCUUAAGAUGGAAAUAAAGGAAAAAGAAAAAGGUUCUUUAUCUUCUUCUCUAAGAUAACCCUCUGUUGUCGCCGCCUCAGUUAAAGUUAAGAUUGGUCUCUUUGGAAGCUUGAGGAUUUAAAGUGAUGAAUUUUUCAUCAAGGAUAAGAGGAUUUUCCAACCUCCAUCUGAGUAACCUUGGAUCAAGUUAAUUGGAGAAUUUUUACUGUCAACUAGGAACUACCUUUGUUUGGCUAAAAUCUCCAGGCGAAGGUAAAGGUAGAGGAAAGCUGGCGAGCGACAGAGAAGGAUCCGUGACAUGCCAUAUGGGGACUCAGUUUUGCUUCCGCGUUUAUGUUUCAGUGUUUUAAUAUUCCAUUUUUAAUGAAAAUUUAUUCUUCCCUCGUUUCAAAAAAAGUGUCUC